CCUACGGGAGGCAGCAGUGGGGAAUUUUGGACAAUGGGCGCAAGCCUGAUCCAGCCAUGCCGCGUGCAGGAUGAAGGCCUUCGGGUUGUAAACUGCUUUUGUACGGAACGAAAAGACUCUGGUUAAUACCUGGGGUCCAUGACGGUACCGUAAGAAUAAGCACCGGCUAACUACGUGCCAGCAGCCGCGGUAAUACGUAGGGUGCGAGCGUUAAUCGGAAUUACUGGGCGUAAAGCGUGCGCAGGCGGUUAUAUAAGACAGAUGUGAAAUCCCCGGGCUCAACCUGGGAACUGCAUUUGUGACUGUAUAGCUAGAGUACGGCAGAGGGGGAUGGAAUUCCGCGUGUAGCAGUGAAAUGCGUAGAUAUGCGGAGGAACACCGAUGGCGAAGGCAAUCCCCUGGGCCUGUACUGACGCUCAUGCACGAAAGCGUGGGGAGCAAACAGGAUUAGAUACCCUGGUAGUCCACGCCCUAAACGAUGUCAACUGGUUGUUGGGUCUUCACUGACUCAGUAACGAAGCUAACGCGUGAAGUUGACCGCCUGGGGAGUACGGCCGCAAGGUUGAAACUCAAAUGAAUUGACGGCUGAGACCGNGCGAGCGACGACGAGGGAGAGG
RNAcentral lists this ribosomal RNA (617 nucleotides) under uncultured bacterium. RNAcentral describes it as "bacterial SSU rRNA". It matches the Rfam family "Bacterial small subunit ribosomal RNA", at positions 338 to 946 of the family's 1533-position model. The record is from RNAcentral.